Molecule: transfer RNA, 71 nt
Filed under: Marmota monax (woodchuck)
Lineage: Eukaryota; Metazoa; Chordata; Mammalia; Rodentia; Sciuridae
Description: tRNA.Ala
Rfam family: tRNA
About the family: Transfer RNA (tRNA) molecules are approximately 80 nucleotides in length. Their secondary structure includes four short double-helical elements and three loops (D, anti-codon, and T loops).
Source: RNAcentral
GCAGUUGUGGCUCAGUGGUAGAGCACUUGCCUAGCAUGUGUGAGGCAUUGAGUUCAAUCCUCAGCAACACA